RNAcentral lists this long non-coding RNA (1941 nucleotides) under Lactuca sativa (garden lettuce). RNAcentral describes it as "long non-coding RNA (LSAT_LNC009342)". The record is from RNAcentral. Lineage: Eukaryota; Viridiplantae; Streptophyta; Magnoliopsida; Asterales; Asteraceae.
AUGAUUGAAAGGAACAGAAGAACAGCGAAAUAUUUUUGGUGUUGUAUCAAGUGCAGGACAAUUUUGCCCCUGAAUACAUAAAUAAUAAGGACAAAAACGAAAAAAAAAAAAAAAAAAAAAACUUGUUUGUUUUGUUGUUGUUAAUCACGAUGAUGUUGCUGAUCGUUGGCUGUCUUCUUGCUUCGUCGAUGGCAGAUAACGAGGGAGGGGAUGAAACAGAAUGUAGGGCGACGUGUUUUUGAAUGGCUUUUCUCGGUUCAUCAAAUAGAAAUCAAGGACCGAAUCCUUUAUUUUUUUUUGGACCGAGUCCUUAUGUCUAUAAUUCCUAUCAAACAUGCUAAUUGGUAUUUUAUAGACCCAAUCCCUCUUUGGACCCAAUUAGAUACCUUAUCAAACGACCCCUAAUAUAAAUAAGACAAAAUUAAAUAUAUGGUUUUUGUUAAAAAAAAAAUUAAUGGUCUAUCAGCCGUUCAAUUUUGAAUAAAUAAGACAAAAUUAAAUAUGUGGUUUUAACGAUAAUGACUUAAAAGGGUAAUAUAUUUUUUGAAUUUUGUACACAUUUAGUCCUUAAUAUUUUUGUACAUAUUUAGUCUUUAACAUUUUUUUUGUUUCAAUUAAGUUCUUUUUUUAUACUCAUUCAGUACUUAUAAAUGAUUUCUUAAUAUUUUUAUUAUGACAUCUUACAUGAGACAAUUACUGAUGAGUUGUUUGGGGUUGUUGAUGUUUAUGUCCAACGUGAUUUCGACUGUUUGGUUGCGUAUGUCUUGUGGUUUGGCUUGAUUCUUAUAUUCUGAAUGUCGUAACUUCUUCAUACGAUAACAUAUUUAAGGAUCUUUAUAUCCGCAUUUUCAUUUUUUCAUUAAGAUUAUUCCCGUUAAAAUGUAAUAUAUUUUUACUUACGAUUUUAUAAAAAAAACAUCCAUACAUGCAUUCAUAAAAAAAACGUAUGGACAUGGGCAAACGCAGGAAUACAUUGUUGGUAUUGCCGAGAUGAAAUAGGUGUUGCUAAUACAUGAAAAAUAACUAUAAACGAAAAAAAUUGAAAUUCCGAGAUCAUAUGGAUAUAAAGAUCGUUCGCGUGGAUAUAAAGAUCGUUCGCGUGGAUAUAAAGAUCGUUAAAAUCCGAGAUCGUAUGAAGAAGUUAUGACAUUCAAAACGCAUGACCUAAGCAACCAAGUAGUUGAGAUCGCGAUGGACGUAAGCAUCAAAAUGUCCAAACACUUCAAUAAUGAAUUUCCCACGUAAGAUUUCAUGAGAAAAAACCAAAGAAAUAAUUCAUAAGUAUUUAAUGAGUACAAAAACAAAAAUGCCUUAUUUUGUAAAAAAUUAUAUAUUAAGGACUAAAUGUGUACAAAAAUAUUAAGGAAUAAAUGUGUACAAAGUGAGAAAUAUAUUACCCUAUUAAGUCAUUUUUACCGGCUAACCUGAUUUAGCCGGUUAUAAGGAUUGAAUGUGUACAGUUUAACAAGUUGAAAGGGUAAAUAUGAAUGAAAAAAAAAUCAGUGACUAAAUGUGUACAAAUCAAAAAAUAUGUUACCCUUUUAAGUCAUUAUCCCUGGUUUCAAUUCAUAUCCAAUCUUAAAUGACAGAAUAUACUUUUAAAUAACUUUUUUUUUUAAAUUUCUUUUCAUUAUGUUCUUAUUAUUUUAUAUAAAAAACAAAAAAAAAUCCCACCACUCCAUUCCUCAUCCACCACAAUUAAUCUUUUUCAUUGAGUUCAAUUUGGGACAUAAGGAUUUUAAAAGAAAAAACUUUGUUUGGCUUGAAAAAACUUUGUUUGGCUUCCUUACAUGAAGGGAGAGGCAUGGGCGACAUGAUGUUGAGAAUCGCAACUCUGCACUCAUCAUUGGCGUUGGGAAGAGAAUUUGUCGAUGGGUUGAAAGGAGAUGAGAGAAGUUGUGGAGGAGAUUAUCAACAGUAGAAGGUGAAUGUAGAUUCACC